This 547-nucleotide ribosomal RNA is filed under the name Salmonella enterica subsp. enterica serovar Hadar. RNAcentral's name for it is "partial 23S ribosomal RNA". It matches the Rfam family "Bacterial large subunit ribosomal RNA", at positions 642 to 1190 of the family's 2925-position model. Lineage: Bacteria; Pseudomonadati; Pseudomonadota; Gammaproteobacteria; Enterobacterales; Enterobacteriaceae. The record is from RNAcentral.
AAGGUUAACCGCAUAGGGGAGCCGUAGGGAAACCGAGUCUUAACCGGGCGUUAAGUUGCAGGGUAUAGACCCGAAACCCGGUGAUCUAGCCAUGGGCAGGUUGAAGGUUGGGUAACACUAACUGGAGGACCGAACCGACUAAUGUUGAAAAAUUAGCGGAUGACCUGUGGCUGGGGGUGAAAGGCCAAUCAAACCGGGAGAUAGCUGGUUCUCCCCGAAAGCUAUUUAGGUAGCGCCUCGUGAAUUCAUCUCCGGGGGUAGAGCACUGUUUCGGCUAGGGGGCCAUCCCGGCUUACCAACCCGAUGCAAACUGCGAAUACCGGAGAAUGUUAUCACGGGAGACACACGGCGGGUGCUAACGUCCGUCGUGAAGAGGGAAACAACCCAGACCGCCAGCUAAGGUCCCAAAGUCAUGGUUAAGUGGGAAACGAUGUGGGAAGGCCCAGACAGCCAGGAUGUUGGCUUAGAAGCAGCCAUCAUUUAAAGAAAGCGUAAUAGCUCACUGGUCGAGUCGGCCUGCGCGGAAGAUGUAACGGGGCUAAACCAU